RNAcentral lists this ribosomal RNA (301 nucleotides) under uncultured bacterium. RNAcentral describes it as "partial 16S ribosomal RNA". It matches the Rfam family "Bacterial small subunit ribosomal RNA", at positions 509 to 809 of the family's 1533-position model. The record is from RNAcentral.
CAGUAGCCGCGGUAACACGGAGGGAGCUAGCGUUGUUCGGAAUUACUGGGCGUAAAGCGCGCGUAGGCGGUUACUCAAGUCAGAGGUGAAAGCCCGGGGCUCAACCCCGGAACUGCCUUUGAAACUAGGUGACUAGAAUCUUGGAGAGGUCAGUGGAAUUCCGAGUGUAGAGGUGAAAUUCGUAGAUAUUCGGAAGAACACCAGUGGCGAAGGCGACUGACUGGACAAGUAUUGACGCUGAGGUGCGAAAGCGUGGGGAGCAAACAGGAUUAGAUACCCGCGUAGUCCCUGUCUCUUAUAA